This 745-nucleotide ribosomal RNA is filed under the name uncultured Glomerales. Its description in RNAcentral is "LSU rRNA". It matches the Rfam family "Eukaryotic large subunit ribosomal RNA", at positions 38 to 633 of the family's 3401-position model. The record is from RNAcentral. Lineage: Eukaryota; Fungi; Glomeromycota; Glomeromycetes; Glomerales; Glomeraceae.
GCAUAUCAAUAAGCGGAGGAAAAGAAAAUAACAAUGAUUCCCCUAGUAACUGCGAGUGAAGAGGGAUAAGCUCAAAUUUUAAAUCUGUUAGGUUUUACCUGGCCGAAUUGUAAUUUGAGGAGGUGUUUUCGCGAGCGUUUGAUCGGCCCAAGUCCUUUGGGAUGAGGCAUCAUGGAGGGUGAUAAUCCCGUACGGCCGUCAUUGCUUGUAUACGAUACACUUUCAAAGAGUCAAGUUGUUUGGGAUUGCAGCUUAAAAUGGGAGGUAAAUUUCUCCUAAGGCUAAAUAUUGGCGAGAGACCGAUAGCGAACAAGUACCGUGAGGGAAAGAUGAAAAGCACUUUGAAAAGAGAGUUAAAUAGUACGUGAAAUUGUUGAAAGGGAAACGAUUGAAGCCAGUCGUACCGACGGAGAAUCAACCUUUGAAGUGUUGGUUGCUGGUAUUCGGGGAGUUUAAAAGCCUUCGUGUGCUUGCAAAUCGGUGCUUCUUGGGUGCACUUCCUCGUGUGGUAGGUUAACAUCAAUUUUGGACGUUACAAAAUGACCGGGGGAAUGUAGCUUCGAUUUUUCGAAGUGUUAUAGCCCAAGGUAGAUGUGACGACCGGGAUUGAGGAUUGCAACGAAUGCCUUCGGGCUAUCCGUCUGGCCUCUGAUGGUCUCCCUGGGGUCGAAAGCUCGCUUACGGCUUCAAGGCUCGGCUGUCAAAAGGUUAGAACGCGAUUAAAUUCGUUAAGGAUGUUGACGUA